Long non-coding RNA from Sceloporus undulatus (fence lizard), 285 nucleotides. RefSeq lists it as uncharacterized. NCBI's taxonomy places the organism in Eukaryota, Metazoa, Chordata, Lepidosauria, Squamata, Phrynosomatidae. The record is from RefSeq and is a predicted model, not a curated record. The transcript is spliced from 4 exons.
GGGAGGUAUGAAAGGCAACAGAGUUAUUCACGAUGCAGCCAGGGAAAAGAGUCAGUUGAAAUCAAAGCUGCUGUCUUGAUAUUCCUGCCUACAAAGCAUGGAAAUCUUAUGAACAUGGUCUUUCCUUUGCCAAUGUCCAAAGCUAACAAAUAAAGGAAAGGAAGAGCAAAUGGGAAAAAUAUGAAACAAUGCAGAAUGUACGUGAAGUACACCAUUACAAGUUUGCACAAAAGGAUAUGUCAGAAAACAUGCAAACUCUGCUUCUAACUCAGGGAAGGGUUGUCC